RNAcentral lists this ribosomal RNA (492 nucleotides) under uncultured bacterium. Its description in RNAcentral is "partial 16S ribosomal RNA". It matches the Rfam family "Bacterial small subunit ribosomal RNA", at positions 29 to 507 of the family's 1533-position model. The record is from RNAcentral.
AGUGAACGCUGGCGGUAGGCCUAACACAUGCAAGUCGAACGGCAGCACAGUAAGCGCUUGCUCUUACGGGUGGCGAGUGGCGGACGGGUGAGGAAUACAUCGGAAUCUACUUUUUCGUGGGGGAUAACGUAGGGCAACUUACGCUAAUACCUCAUACGACAUACGGGUGAAAGCAGGGGAACUUGGUACCUUGCGCGAUCUAAUGAGCCGAUGUCGGAUUAGUUAGUUGGCGGGGUAAAGGACCACCAAGGCGACGGUCCGUACCUGGCCUGCGUGGAUGACCAGCCACACUGGAACGGAGAAACGGUCCAGACUCCUAGGGGAGGCAGCAGUGGGGAAUAUUGGACAAGGGGCGCAAGCCGGAUCCAGCCAUACCGCGUGGGUGAAGAAGGCCUUCGGGUUGUAAAGCCCUUUUGUUGGGAAAGAAAAGCAGCAGGUUAAUACCCCGCUGUUCUGACGGUACCCAAAGAAUAAGCACCGGCUAACUUCGUG